AGAGCGUACGGUGGAUGCCUUGGCACCAGGAGCCGAUGAAGGACGUAGGAGGCUGCGAUAAGCCUCGGGGAGCUGUCAACCGAGCUGUGAUCCGAGGAUGUCCGAAUGGGGAAACCCAGCACGAGUGAUGUCGUGUUACCCGCGCCUGAAUAUAUAGGGCGUGUGGAGGGAACGUGGGGAAGUGAAACAUCUCAGUACCCACAGGAAGAGAAAACAACCGUGAUUCCGUGAGUAGUGGCGAGCGAAAGCGGAAGAGGCUAAACCAUGGGUGUGUGAUAGCCGGCAGGUGUUGCAUUCGUGGGGUUGUGGGGUUCAUUUUGUCAAUACUGCCGUGUUGGCCAACAGUAAGAAAUCACAGGGUUAGUGGAAGUGGUCUGGAACGGCCUGUCGUAGAGGGUGAGAAUCCCGUACACGAAAACUUUGUGACUGUUGUAAUGGAAACCCAAGUAGCACCGGGCCCGUGAAAUCUGGUGUGAAUCUGUCGGGACCACCCGAUAAGCCUGAAUACUCCCUGGUGACCGAUAGCGGACUAGUACCGUGAGGGAAAGGUGAAAAGUACCCCGGGAGGGGAGUGAAAUAGUACCUGAAACCGUGCGCUUACAAUCCGUCAGAGCCUUCGAGCAGUUUACUGCUGGGGGUGAUGGCGUGCCUUUUGAAGAAUGAGCCUGCGAGUUAGUGGCAUGUCGCGAGGUUAACCCGUGUGGGGUAGCCGUAGCGAAAGCGAGUCCGAAUAGGGCGAUCGUAGUGGCAUGCUCUAGACCCGAAGCGGAGUGAUCUACCCAUGGCCAGGUUGAAGCGACGGUAAGACGUCGUGGAGGACCGAACCCACUUAGGUUGAAAACUGAGGGGAUGAGUUGUGGGUAGGGGUGAAAGGCCAAUCAAACUCCGUGAUAGCUGGUUCUCCCCGAAAUGCAUUUAGGUGCAGCGUCGCGUGUUUCUCACCGGAGGUAGAGCUACUGGAUGGUCUAGGGGGCCCACAAGCUUACCGAAAUCAGCCAAACUCCGAAUGCCGGUGAGUGAGAGCGCGGCAGUGAGACUGCGGGCGAUAAGGUUCGUAGUCGAGAGGGAAACAGCCCAGAUCGCCAGCUAAGGUCCCUAAGCGUGUACUAAGUGGAAAAGGAUGUGGGGUCGCGAAGACAACCAGGAGGUUGGCUUAGAAGCAGCCACCCUUGAAAGAGUGCGUAAUAGCUCACUGGUCAAGUGAUCCUGCGCCGACAAUGUAGCGGGGCUCAAGUACACCACCGAAGCUGCGGCAUUCACGCAAUAGCCCCCAGUUGAUCCACGGAUUUUCUGGCAGGUGUGUGGAUGGGUAGGGGAGCGUCGUGUGGCCAUGGAAGCGGCAGGGUGACCUAGCCGUGGAGGCCACACGAGUGAGAAUGCAGGCAUGAGUAGCGAAAGACGAGUGAGAAACUCGUCCGCCGAAUGACCAAGGGUUCCUGGGCCAGGUUAAUCCGCCCAGGGUGAGUCGGGACCUAAGACGAGGCCGACAGGCGUAGCCGAUGGACAACGGGUUGAUAUUCCCGUACCCGUGUGAACGCGCCCAUGGUGAAUCAGUGAUACUAACCAUCCUGAAGCCACGAGAAGACCUUCGGGUCUCGAGUUGGUGGAUGCAUGGGACCUGAUCUGGUAGUAGCCAAGCGAUGGGGUGACGCAGGAAGGUAGCUGAGCCAGUCAGUGGUAAUACUGGUGUAAGCGUGUAGGGCGUGACCUAGGCAAAUCCGGGUCGCACAUAGCCUGAGACGUGAUGCGUAGCCGAUUGAGGCGAAUUCAGUGAUCCUAUGCUGCCGAGAAAAGCCUCUAGCGAGCUUUCACACGGCCCGUACCCCAAACCGACACAGGUGGUCAGGUAGAGAAUACUAAGGCGAUCGAGAUAACUAUGGUUAAGGAACUCGGCAAAAUGCCCCCGUAACUUCGGGAGAAGGGGGGCCCUGUCUGGUGACGACAUUUACUGUCUGAGCUGGGUGGGGCCGCAGAGACCAGUGAGAAGCGACUGUUUACUAAAAACACAGGUCCGUGCGAAGUCGUAAGACGAUGUAUACGGACUGACGCCUGCCCGGUGCUGGAAGGUUAAGAGGACCGGUUAGUUCCUUCGGGAGCGAAGCUGAGAAUUUAAGCCCCAGUAAACGGCGGUGGUAACUAUAACCAUCCUAAGGUAGCGAAAUUCCUUGUCGGGUAAGUUCCGACCUGCACGAAUGGCGUAACGACUUCUCAGCUGUCUCAACCGUAGACUCGGCGAAAUUGCAUUACGAGUAAAGAUGCUCGUUACGCGCGGCAGGACGAAAAGACCCCGGGACCUUCACUACAGCUUGGUAUUGGUGUUCGGUUCGGUUUGUGUAGGAUAGGUGGGAGACUGUGAAGCGGUGACGCCAGUUAUCGUGGAGUCGUUGUUGAAAUACCACUCUGAUCGAAUUGGACCUCUAACCUCGGACCAUGAUCUGGUUCAGGGACAGUGCCUGGUGGGUAGUUUAACUGGGGCGGUUGCCUCCCAAAAUGUAACGGAGGCGCCCAAAGGUUCCCUCAGCCUGGUUGGCAAUCAGGUGUCGAGUGCAAGUGCACAAGGGAGCUUGACUGUGAGACUGACAGGUCGAGCAGGGACGAAAGUCGGGACUAGUGAUCCGGCACCGGCAAGUGGAAGCGGUGUCGCUCAACGGAUAAAAGGUACCCCGGGGAUAACAGGCUGAUCUUCCCCAAGAGUCCAUAUCGACGGGAUGGUUUGGCACCUCGAUGUCGGCUCGUCGCAUCCUGGGGCUGGAGUAGGUCCCAAGGGUUGGGCUGUUCGCCCAUUAAAGCGGCACGCGAGCUGGGUUUAGAACGUCGUGAGACAGUUCGGUCUCUAUCCGCCGCGCGCGUUAGAAACUUGAGGAAGGCUGUCCCUAGUACGAGAGGACCGGGACGGACGAACCUCUGGUGUGCCAGUUGUUCCGCCAGGAGCACCGCUGGUUAGCUACGUUCGGAAGGGAUAACCGCUGAAAGCAUCUAAGCGGGAAGCCUGUUCCAAGAUGAGGUUUCU
RNAcentral lists this ribosomal RNA (3010 nucleotides) under Rhodococcus sp. AJR001. RNAcentral's name for it is "bacterial LSU rRNA". It matches the Rfam family "Bacterial large subunit ribosomal RNA". The record is from RNAcentral. Lineage: Bacteria; Bacillati; Actinomycetota; Actinomycetes; Mycobacteriales; Nocardiaceae.